Molecule: unclassified non-coding RNA, 166 nt
Filed under: soil metagenome
Description: partial contains small subunit ribosomal RNA, internal transcribed spacer 1, and 5.8S ribosomal RNA
Source: RNAcentral
UUUCCGUAGGUGAACCUGCGGAAGGAUCAUUACCAAUAUAGCGAACCGAGCGUUAGCGAGGCUUCGCGAUCAAAUUGUAUUUAAAACCCAACUCUUUAAAUGUAUAUAUUAUUAUGUAUUUUAAAUAAUAAAAAGAUCACUUUCAACAACGGAUCUCUUGGCUCUC